UACGUAGGGAGCGAGCGUUGUCCGGAUUUACUGGGUGUAAAGGGUGCGUAGGCGGGAUUGCAAGUCAGGCGUGAAAUACCGGGGCUUAACUCCGGGGCGUGCGCUUGAAACUGUAGUUCUUGAGUGAAGUAGAGGCAGGCGGAAUUCCUAGUGUAGCGGUGAAAUGCGUAGAUAUUAGGAGGAACACCAGUGGCGAAGGCGGCCUGCUGGGCUUUAACUGACGCUGAGGCACGAAAGCAUGGGGAGCAAACAGGAUUAGAUACCCUGGUAGU
RNAcentral lists this ribosomal RNA (272 nucleotides) under uncultured prokaryote. Its description in RNAcentral is "partial 16S ribosomal RNA". It matches the Rfam family "Bacterial small subunit ribosomal RNA", at positions 524 to 794 of the family's 1533-position model. The record is from RNAcentral.